AAUGGCCUAACGGCUGAACUGGCAACUUGGAAAAGUGGCAAGUCCUACUUUGAUUAUAUCGUAGAAUAUAAUCUAUAGGAUUGUAUUAAAAUUGAAUAAAGCUUUGUUUAUAUAUUGAUAAUGACAGUAUAUAUAUCGUGUCUUGACUAAUUACGUGCCAGCAGUCGCGGUAAUACGUAAGAGACUAGUGUUAUUCAUCUUAAUUAGGUUUAAAGGGUACCUAGACGGUCAAUAUAGCUUCUAGAAUGUUAGUACUUGACUAGAGUUUUAUGUAAGAGGGUAGUACUUGAGGAGGAGAGAUGAAAUUCUAUGAUACCAAAGGGACUCGGUAAAGGCGAAGGCAACCCUCUAUGUAAAAACUGACGUUGAAGGACGAAGGCACAGAGAACAAACAGGAUUAGAUACCCAAGUAGUCUUUGCAGUAAAUGAUGAAUGCCAUAGGUCAGAUUAAGAUUUAAUAACUUAGUUCUUCAGUAAGGAACUAAAUAUUAAACAUUAUUUGGUCUAUAAAUGAAAGUGUAAGCAUUUCACCUCAAGAGUAAUGUGGCAACGCAGGAACUGAAAUCACUAGACCGUUUCUGACACCAGUAGUGAAGUAUGUUGUUUAAUUCGAUGAUCCACGAAAAACCUUACCACAAUUUGUAUAAUUAUUACAGGAGUUGCACGGCUGUUUUCAGUUAAUGUUGUGAAACUGUGGUUUCCAUGAAAUUAACGCAAUCCCUGGCUUUA
Molecule: ribosomal RNA, 729 nt
Filed under: Tolypocladium ophioglossoides
Lineage: Eukaryota; Fungi; Ascomycota; Sordariomycetes; Hypocreales; Ophiocordycipitaceae
Description: mitochondrial SSU rRNA
Rfam family: Bacterial small subunit ribosomal RNA
Source: RNAcentral